GGCAUGGUGGCUUAGUGGUUAGUGCUUGCAUUACACAUCUAGGGUUGGGGGUUCGAUUCCCACCUCUGCCC
Ameiurus melas (black bullhead) is the source of this 71-nucleotide non-coding RNA. The record is from the annotation of a GenBank genome assembly. NCBI's taxonomy places the organism in Eukaryota, Metazoa, Chordata, Actinopteri, Siluriformes, Ictaluridae.